UCAGACAUAUAAAAUAACUAAGAAAAACUCUAUACGACUAAAAUUACAAUAUAUUAACUUAACAUCUACUGAAAAAUUAACUUCCAUGGCCUCUCCUGUUUCUGAAAACAUCAACAACACGUCGCAGCUCGUGGACUCGGUGCUCAAAUUUCAAUGACUCUGUAAGUGUAGCCUGAAACUGGAGCAUGCGCAGUUGUGUGCGCCCACCCCUGCUCUGCACCUGUGCCAGCCAGACAGGUGUGAAGGUUUGUCAAAGCUGCUGCAGCGUGAAGUGAGGUGGAAGAAAGAGGAUACUCUUCUUGAUCACUGAGAUUUGCCUGGAUGUUGUGAUGCCAUGCAGUGGAAAUAUUUGGCAGAGUUCAGCCGAAUUUCUGCUAAAAAUCUGAGGCAAGAAUUGUACACAGCUCUUCAUAGCCACACAACACGCUUCAUUCAAAUCUUUAAGUCCAAAGGCGGGUCACAGGGAAAAACUGCCCGAAAUCUUGCAACACAUCAAC
Molecule: long non-coding RNA, 497 nt
Organism: Thunnus maccoyii (southern bluefin tuna)
Lineage: Eukaryota; Metazoa; Chordata; Actinopteri; Scombriformes; Scombridae
Exons: 3
Source: RefSeq, a predicted model, not a curated record